Molecule: ribosomal RNA, 888 nt
Filed under: Triticum aestivum (bread wheat)
Lineage: Eukaryota; Viridiplantae; Streptophyta; Magnoliopsida; Poales; Poaceae
Description: partial small subunit ribosomal RNA
Source: RNAcentral
AUGGAGGUCAUCAACGCGGUGUUCCCUGUCAUCACCUGUCGUAAGCCGGCCAACACUAUUCUUGCUACGAACAGGCAGGGUAAGAGGAAGCCUGGUGCAAACCAUAGCCACUAUAAGAGGCUUUUGGGGGUUGCCCGUUUGCUGUCCCAGAUGGCUGAACCUGUUAUGAAGGGAGCAGUUCAGAUCAGCUUUUUACUUGCUAGAUCCUUUUUUGUAGAACUUUGCACUGCAGUGCUUGCUUUGCUUGCAAGAGUGAGGGUCCUGACCCAACAGAUUUUACUUGAUGUUGUAUCAGUAUACAACAAGGUUACUGAUCUUACAGAUAAAAAGCAGGCUGUUAAGAUCAGUAUUGAUAAAGUACAGGCUUUCAGAGAGUACUACCCCUCGAGCAACGAUCCCGGUACUAUCCUGGAGUGUGUAUGGGCGAAAGAUAAAUUUGUUUUGCACGAAAAGACAAAAGCUAGCAGUCUGAAAACCCAAGAUGAUGAUCUGAAGUCGUGCACCCCAGAUUCAUCAAUCCAGUAUGAGACCCUUGGACUUGUUAGUGAAGAGAUGGAAAACCUUGAUGGAGCAAACACCCCAGCCAAGCAACAACAGACUUCUCUGGCUGACCAACCAGAUAAAGCCACCCAUUGCGGCGAUGCUGGAGAUUCUCUCAGUGGGAGACAACUACCAAAUGAUCAGAACACCCCCGGUUCUCUCCUUGGCACGCCCCCUGCUGCGCCGACUCCACGAAGAGAUGCCAAGCCUGAUACGAGGAAGAGAGUGGCAUUCAUUGCGGUGGGGAAAACAAAAGUCACCAUGACACCGCCCGAAACAUCAUCCGUAGUUACCAAGAAGCAAAGGGUGUACACGAUUCGACAGAUCACCACAGAUCCUGCUUUGUAA